This 467-nucleotide ribosomal RNA is filed under the name uncultured bacterium. RNAcentral's name for it is "partial 16S ribosomal RNA". It matches the Rfam family "Bacterial small subunit ribosomal RNA", at positions 28 to 507 of the family's 1533-position model. The record is from RNAcentral.
GACGAACGCUGGCGGCGUGCUUAACACAUGCAAGUCGAACGAUGAAGCCCAGCUUGCUGGGUGGAAGAGUGGCGAACGGGUGAGUAACACGUGAGUAACCUGCCCUGAACUCUGGGAUAAGCACUGGAAACGGUGUCUAAUACUGGAUACGACCUAUCACCGCAUGGUGUGUGGGUGGGAAGAUUUAUCGGUUCUGGAUGGACUCGCGGCCUAUCAGCUAGAUGGUGAGGUAAUGGCUCACCAUGGCGACGACGGGUAGCCGGCCUGAGAGGGUGACCGGCCACACUGGGACUGAGACACGGCCCAGACUCCUACGGGAGGCAGCAGUGGGGAAUAUUGCACAAUGGGCGCAAGCCUGAUGCAGCAACGCCGCGUGAGGGAUGACGGCCUUCGGGUUGUAAACCUCUUUUAGUAGGGAAGAAGCGAAAGUGACGGUACCUGCAGAAAAAGCACCGGCUAACUACGUG